RNAcentral lists this ribosomal RNA (465 nucleotides) under uncultured bacterium. RNAcentral's name for it is "bacterial SSU rRNA". It matches the Rfam family "Bacterial small subunit ribosomal RNA", at positions 338 to 795 of the family's 1533-position model. The record is from RNAcentral.
CCUACNGGCCGCACCAGUGGGGAAUAUUGCACAAUGGGCGCAAGCCUGAUGCAGCCAUGCCGCGUGUAUGAAGAAGGCCUUCGGGUUGUAAAGUACUUUCAGCGGGGANGAAGGCGAUAAGNUUAAUAACCUUGUCGAUUGACGUUACCCGCAGAAGAAGCACCGGCUAACUCCGUGCCAGCAGCCGCGGUAAUACGGAGGGUGCAAGCGUUAAUCAGAAUUACUGGGCGUAAAGCGCACGCAGGCGGUCUGUCAAGUCGGAUGUGAAAUCCCCAGGCUCAACCUGGGAACUGCAUUCGAAACUGGCAGGCUAGAGUCUUGUAGAGGGGGGUAGAAUUCCAGGUGCAGCGGUGAAAUGCGUAGAGAUCUGGAGGAAUACCGGUGGCGAAGGCGGCCCCCUGGACAAAGACUGACGCUCAGGUGCGAAAGCGUGGGGAGCAAACAGGAUUAGAUACCCGUGUAGUC